Molecule: small nucleolar RNA, 77 nt
Organism: Suncus etruscus (white-toothed pygmy shrew)
Lineage: Eukaryota; Metazoa; Chordata; Mammalia; Eulipotyphla; Soricidae
Product: small nucleolar RNA U2-19
Exons: 1
Source: RefSeq, a predicted model, not a curated record
AAUCAGUGAGGGAAAUAGCAAAAUUGAGCAUCAGAAGAUCUUCCAGUCUGCCUUAUCUGUAAUCUUUAAUCCUGAUG